GGGCUAGUAGCUCAGGUGGUUAGAGCGCGACACUGAUAAUGUCGAGGUCCGUGGUUCGAGUCCACGCUGGCCCA
Molecule: transfer RNA, 74 nt
Filed under: Hymenobacter qilianensis
Lineage: Bacteria; Pseudomonadati; Bacteroidota; Cytophagia; Cytophagales; Hymenobacteraceae
Also listed under: 3 other names
Rfam family: tRNA
About the family: Transfer RNA (tRNA) molecules are approximately 80 nucleotides in length. Their secondary structure includes four short double-helical elements and three loops (D, anti-codon, and T loops).
Source: Rfam by way of RNAcentral